RNAcentral lists this long non-coding RNA (274 nucleotides) under Fragaria vesca (wild strawberry). RNAcentral describes it as "long non-coding RNA (FVES_LNC003103)". The record is from RNAcentral. Lineage: Eukaryota; Viridiplantae; Streptophyta; Magnoliopsida; Rosales; Rosaceae.
GCGGAAUGUGAGCCGCGGGAGAGGGAGCGGGAGGCGCAGGGGAGGCGGAGGCCGGUGAAGGAUUUGGGGAAAGUUAGGGUUUGGGAUUGGGGCUUGGAGAAGGAAGAAGCAGCGAGGGAGGUGGAUUUGGAGAAAGCCCUAGGGGUGGAGGAGAUGAGAGCAGUGGAGGCAGCCAUGAGGUUGGUGUUGGUAGCUCACACACACUCACUCAGACUCAGUAUCAGUCGGUCACACCCUGUGAGAGUCAGGGUCGUCUUUCUUAAGGUGGAGAAAU